AGCCAAUCAUUGAGAUCCUGG
This 21-nucleotide unclassified non-coding RNA is filed under the name Mus musculus (house mouse). RNAcentral describes it as "oocyte_clustered_small_RNA153". Lineage: Eukaryota; Metazoa; Chordata; Mammalia; Rodentia; Muridae. The record is from RNAcentral.